UUCGGGAGAACACGACCGGCGCACGGGUGAGUAACGCGUAUGCAACCUACCUUUGGCGCGGAGUACAGCCCGGGGAAACCCGGAUUAAUACCCGGUAUAGUCUGUUAUACACCUGUAUAAAAGACGAGAGCUACGGCGGCCAAAGAUGGGCAUGCGUGCCAUUAGUUAGUUGGUAGGGUAACGGCCUACCAAGGCAUCGAUGGCUACGGGGUCUAAAAGGAUGAGCCCGCACACUGGUACUGAGACACGGACCAGACUCCUACGGGAGGCAGCAGUGAGGAAUAUUGGUCAAUGGGUGGAAGCCUGAACCAGCCAUGCCGCGUGCAGGAAGACGGCCUUAUGGGUUGUAAACUGCUUUUCUACGGGACGAACGGCUCUGACGUGUCAGAGAUUGACGGUACCGUAGGAAUAAGCAUCGGCUAACUCCGUGCCAGCAGCCGCGGUAAUACGGAGGAUGCGAGCGUUAUCCGGAUUUAUUAGGUUUAAAGGGUGCGUAGGCUGGGCAAUAAGUCAGUGGUGAAAGUCCGCGGCUCAACCGUGGGAUUGCCAUUGAAACUGUUGUUCUUGAGUACAGUCGAGGUAGGCGGAAUGUGUAAUGUAGCGGUGAAAUGCAUAGAUAUUACCCAGAACACCGAUUGCGUAGGCAGCUUACCAGCCUGGAACUGACGCUGAUGCACGAAAGCGUGGGGAG
This 691-nucleotide ribosomal RNA is filed under the name uncultured organism. RNAcentral's name for it is "bacterial SSU rRNA". It matches the Rfam family "Bacterial small subunit ribosomal RNA", at positions 79 to 768 of the family's 1533-position model. The record is from RNAcentral.